This 1330-nucleotide long non-coding RNA is filed under the name Bos grunniens (domestic yak). RNAcentral describes it as "lncRNA (ENSBGRG00000007135.1)". Lineage: Eukaryota; Metazoa; Chordata; Mammalia; Artiodactyla; Bovidae. The record is from RNAcentral.
UAUCUGUCAUCAAAACCACAAGGGACCUGGACCACUUCACAUUUGGUUGUUGAAUGAAGCUGUUCUUCGGUUACUAGAACUGCUGCACGACAGCUGAUCAGCUGUACAAUCAACUGAUAGAACCAGGAACAAUCACACGAUAGCAUAAAAUUCAUGAUUUCUUCACAGAGUUCAUCAAUACUUGGUAUGUUGUUUGUAGCUCACUUAGGCCAGAAAAGAAAAAAAAAAAGGAAAAAGUCAGAAUGAAGAACCUCCAUGCCAAGUUGUUCUCCUACACCAUGGCAGCCUGCGAGAAGUUCAGUGGUGUGGCAUUUUAAGAGGCCAAUCUGACUUGGCAAGAGAGCUCUUGGUUUUAUUCAACCCUUUGCUAUCUCACAAAGUUGUUACAUAUAAAGCAGGUUUAGGCAGGAUGCAAACUGAAGGCCAUUAUCCCUAGGAAAGAUUUCACUGAUCAAGAUUUGAAAUUCCUGUAGAUGUUUCUACUUAGUCUCAUUCCAGGAAAGGCACGAGGGCCCUUGCUGGCCUGUUAAGGAACUCAGCUCAGUGAAGUAACCUGUGGGGAAGAUACGGCCAGGGCAAAAGCUAAGGACACUGAUUACUAAUCAAGUGUGUAUGUUUCCAACAAAGAGAAAGAUACCUUUGACAGUUCUUCAAUCAAAGGCUUUCCAUGAAAUGGUAUAUUUCAAGCCAGCAACCAAAGGGAUGCCAAGUGGAAAACCCAAACAAAUUCAACAGAUUGACAUCUCUCCAGCCAUUUCCAUUAGGCUGCUUUUUAACAAGUUCAUUUACACAAGAGCAGAGACCAGAGCACACCCAGCCCCAGAACCAUGGAGCUGCCCUGCAGAAUGGGGUUAGGGUGGGGGAGGCCUGCCUCUCCCAAGGUGUCAAGGUUGAGCAGACAGGCCUGGUCCUUUCUUGGUAUGGAGGCUUUCGUUCAAAAGGACUGGAACUUCUUGCAUUAAACAGCACUCCGGACAGCAGAAAAGUUGUGUAACCCCUCCCCUCCCCACCAUCCUUCCUUGUUCUGGACCAAAACUACUUCCGUCUCUAAGCAUCUACAAGUCCAAGAAGGUCUCCAGACUGGGGAAGAUCCUCUGCUCUAAUAAAUUUGCAAAACUGGGGAACAAAAAAUAUGGCUCCGUUGAACUGGUUCAAGUGUUCUUUAGAUCCAGAAUCUUUGGAAUAAAAAUGAAUAUGAAAAAUGUUUUUGAAGACCCCAGCUUCGUGGGUAAAAAGGAACCAGUCUUACGUGCCUCAGGACAUGUAAAGAGUCGGAUAUGACUGAGUAACUGAGCUGAACUGACGUGCCUCAGGACUUGGAGGGGCAACU